AGCGAACGCUGGCGGCAGGCUUAACACAUGCAAGUCGAGCGCCCCGCAAGGGGAGCGGCAGACGGGAGAGGAACACGUGGGAACAGACCUUUUGGUUCGGAACAACUGAGGGAAACUUCAGCCAAUACCGGGUAAGCCCUUACGGGGAAAGAUUUAUCGCCGAAAGAUUGGCCCGCGUCUGAUUAGCUAGUUGGUGAGGUAACGGCUCACCAAGGCGACGAUCAGUAGCUGGUCUGAGAGGAUGAUCAGCCUCACUGGGACUGAGACACGGCCCAGACUCCUACGGGAGGCAGCAGUGGGGAAUAUUGGACAAUGGGGGCUACCCUGAUCCAGCCAUGCCGCGUGAGUGAUGAAGGCCUUAGGGUUGUAAAGCUCUUUUGCCCGGGAAGAUAAUGACGGUACCGGGAGAAUAAGCCCCGGCUAACUUCGUG
RNAcentral lists this ribosomal RNA (431 nucleotides) under uncultured bacterium. Its description in RNAcentral is "partial 16S ribosomal RNA". It matches the Rfam family "Bacterial small subunit ribosomal RNA", at positions 29 to 507 of the family's 1533-position model. The record is from RNAcentral.